Long non-coding RNA from Lathyrus oleraceus (garden pea), 1029 nucleotides. RefSeq lists it as uncharacterized. The record is from RefSeq and is a predicted model, not a curated record. Lineage: Eukaryota; Viridiplantae; Streptophyta; Magnoliopsida; Fabales; Fabaceae. The transcript is spliced from 2 exons.
AUGGUGCAAAUAGCUUAUUGAUGGGUUAUGAAGCCCAAAGUCCAAGCAAGACUAAUGGCCAGGAGGUAUGUGCAUAUGUAUGGUGUGGAAAGCAUGUUUGGAUGGGCCUUGCUCAAGCGUUACAGAUGCAAACACGGAAGGACUCAAACAUAGAAGCAUCAUAUGAGGAUACCUCAACCUCACGUGGCUGUCCCCCUCUUUCAUGCUUUCAAGUUCUUCGUCUAAACCACAACAACUCCGUCGCGCCGGAGCUCAUCACCAGCGGCGACGGAGCAUGAAACCACAUCAAACCUACACCGUUCCACUCGUUUCGUCAUCCUCUAUUCAAAUUCCUAGUCAAUUUUGCACGAUUAUGGCUAAAAGUCCAAAUCGAGCCUUUCUAACUAUGAACCCUAAGUUAUAACAUCAUAAAUUAAAUCCUCCGUUGGAGGAAUCAAAGUCCCUAGGGUUAGGGCUUUGAUUCCUUAAGUACUAAUAUACAUACCGGUAAGCGAUUUAAAGCAGAACUAAGCAUAAUUUGGACUUACCUGCCAGAGAAGAUGAAGAUGACAACGGCGACGAAGACGCAUAAGUGUAACCGGUUACCACUAUGAAAGUUGGUGCUCUAGACUGCAAUAAGGGGCCACGUGAAGCAGGUGUAACCGGUUACCCACAUGAAGGUUGGUGGUUCCUGGGUGCAAACAAGGUUAUGUGAAGCAGGUGUAACCGGUUACCGUAACCAGUUACCAACACAAUAAUGAGGGUUCUGGGUUACAUGAUGAGCCUGUGUGCAGCUGGCGUAACCGGUUACCAUACAAAAAAUGGUGUUUUGGGGUUCAACUUUAUGCUAACUUGAAGGUGCAUCAUGGAGAACGGAAUGGUAGCUGCAAAGUUCAAAGUUCCUUUCAUUUGGCACUUGAUUUAAGCUAUGUAUGGUGAUUCUAUGUAUUUAUUAAGUAACAUGAGAAUGUAAAUGCAAAUGCAAAUGCAAACUAUGCUUAUGUAAUGAACAUUAAUCAAUUCAAUUUUAUGAUUCAAGAUUAAAUCAAA